RNAcentral lists this ribosomal RNA (465 nucleotides) under uncultured bacterium. RNAcentral describes it as "partial 16S ribosomal RNA". It matches the Rfam family "Bacterial small subunit ribosomal RNA", at positions 339 to 795 of the family's 1533-position model. The record is from RNAcentral.
CUACGGGUGGCAGCAGUGGGGAAUAUUGGACAAUGGGGGAAACCCUGAUCCAACAAUGCCGCGUGUGUGAAGAAGGCCUGCGGGUUGUAAAGCACUUUCGGUUGGGAGGACUGCUUCUAGCACUAAUAUUGUUGGAAGUUGACGUUACCUUCAGAAGAAGCACCGGCUAACUCCGUGCCAGCAGCCGCGGUAAUACGGAGGGUGCAAGCGUUAAUCGGAAUUACUGGGCGUAAAGCGCGCGUAGGCGGCUAGAUCAGUCGGGUGUGAAAGCCCCGGGCUUAACCUGGGAACUGCAUCCGAUACUGUCUAGCUUGAGUACAGGAGAGGAGAGUGGAAUUCCACAUGUAGCGGUGAAAUGCGUAGAUAUGUGGAGGAACACCAAUGGCGAAGGCAGCUCUCUGGCCUGAUACUGACGCUGAGGUGCGAAAGCGCGGGGAGCAAACAGGAUUAGAUACCCCUGUAGUC